This is a long non-coding RNA of Quercus robur (English oak), 840 nucleotides long. RefSeq lists it as uncharacterized. The record is from RefSeq and is a predicted model, not a curated record. NCBI's taxonomy places the organism in Eukaryota, Viridiplantae, Streptophyta, Magnoliopsida, Fagales, Fagaceae. The transcript is spliced from 3 exons.
AAACCAAAACCCGAUGAAAAAAAAAAAAAACUCUCUUCCCCUUAAACGCAAACACAGUAACGCAAACUCAUCAAACUCCCUCUCUUCUUCUUCACACAGUCCCAUCUCCAUCUUCAAACGCACAAUUUCCUCCAUGCCUCUCUCUACAUACACGUUCCCCUGCCUCCAAUCUUUGUCCCUUCUCUACCUUCAAACCCCUAAACUAUAGUCCGCAGGCGCCAGCCACCCACUCCUUUAGUGGCAGAAAGUUUUUGAUUUUGACACUUUACCAUCUGACCAGAUUCUCUCCGCAAACAUUACCGACACAUCUAAGAAUUUGGAAGCCCAUUUUGAAGAAUGCUAGCACUCUAGCAGAGAAGUUCUCCAUGGAAGUCACACAAGAUCUAUGUUUAUUUGUACUCCCUCAAAUAGCACCAUAAUUAGGUGGGAUAAUAAAUUUGUGCUGUCCUACUAGGCAAGAAGCAAAGGCAACCAUGAGCUUUCAAAGGGUGAUUGGAGAUGAUAAUUUAAAUGGAAGUUUUAGCUAGAUGACAUGACUAACAAUUCCUAUUAAGAAGAGUAUUUAGUAAACCGUAUAUCAAUGAUAUGUUAUCAAUGACUAAGUUUGGUUAUAUAUAUAGCAAAAAAUUGUAAAAGAGUCAUGAAGGUAAAAUUGAAAAGCUACAUACUAAUGCUUUUGUAAUUACUCAUUUGAAAUUCAAACUGGUUUCAAAAAUAUAGUUUGUGGUUUAGAGCAUUUUCUGUUUUCACUAAUUGUGUUUUGUUUCCAUGUACCUGUUUUUAAAAUACAUGUAAAUUUGGUCAAAUAUUAAUUUUUAUGCCUUACAGGGAGGGGUACAU